CUGCUGUGAUGAAACUUAACAUAACAACUCUGAAUUUUUCAUGUUGUUAAAAAAUACGAGCUUUUUAAAUCUGAGCAGG
Small nucleolar RNA from Exaiptasia diaphana, 79 nucleotides. The record is from RefSeq and is a predicted model, not a curated record. NCBI's taxonomy places the organism in Eukaryota, Metazoa, Cnidaria, Anthozoa, Actiniaria, Aiptasiidae.